UUUUCCCUCUCGCUCAACUCAUUUUCCCCACCUUUUCUCCCCUUUCCCGCGUGACAUCAUAUUGAUCCGCAUGCAACUUUCAAUAGCAGGAAGGCUCCUUCACAAAUCUGCAAGAGUUGAUGGAGAAGCAAUGGGAGAGGCCUGUUUGUGAAGGAAUCAACGCCAUAACCAUUGACACACGUCUGUGAAGGGCAAGGGCACUACAUGUUACUACGGGAGGUUUAAUGCCUACCAUAUCGAAAGAGCAUAAGUAGUAACCUGACAGGAGAGGGAAUAGGGGGAGAGAUUGUUGAUUGUUCAUUCUGGAGAGGAGAGGUUGCCCUUUUAGUCACGACAGAUGCCAUUGAUUCGAACCAAGUCUCUCGUUCCUACAUUCCUUUAAUCUGCAAACUUAUAACACCAGGUAUGUGAUUAGCCGAUAGAAAUUGUUUAGGUGGGCUACGCCCAUCGAAAGUGCCUCAUGCACAUCAGGAAGUGACUAUGCCGAGUCUGCUUUUUAAAAUUUCUGGCAGUCGAGGUUUUUAAACUCCUCUUUAUAAAGUUAAAAAUUAUACAGAGUCAAUAGAUUCUGGGCGUCCAGUGCAUUUUUUUUAAUCAGUAAACUUAUGUUAAAAAUAUUUGAUUUGUUUAAGUUUGGAUCCACUCUUCAUUUACUGUAAAUUAAUUGAAGCAACGCUUGUAUGGGGAUUGGUUUUGGUUCAUCCCCUGCUGUGGUAUUUAGGGUUUCAAAAUAUUUCCUGCAAACUCUGCCCAUUUUUUUCAUCGGUCUUGUUGAUUAGUAGGGCAAAAUUUGUGGUAGCCCUAAAAACCUAAUAUUUUUCAGAUCCAAUAUUUAUAGAUCCACUUUUCGGAGAUAAGUUUUGGUUCGUCUCAUUUAAAAAAAAUUCUGUUCUGGUAGGGUUCUGUAAAGUUUUCCGACAAACUCUGCCUAUUUUUCUUUAUUGGGCAUUGGGUAAACGGGUACUCAAGCUGCUAUUGGCGCUACUGCAAUGCUAGAUCGACUGUGGAAUCAGCUGGAUAAUAUUCUGUGUUCCACGGUAGGGACCCCUAUAUACUAGAGACUAAAGAAGGAACGAUGGGUGUAUCCCCAACUAAUGAAACGGUGCAGGACGUUUUCUAACCAAUGCGGGAGCACCCGGACUGAACUAGGAGUAGCAGCGAAGAGAAAAGGUAGGUGGGGCGUGCUACCAUCUAUGGUUAUCAGCCGAGUCCACCUAUACUCUACCAAUGAUCAUGAGUUAUUAUCAGGUGUUUAGUUGCAGGAUUUCUGUUACUAGAUUGAUUAAUCCCAUUUCCACUGCUUUCAUCUUGCAUUUCUGCUUGUUGGUCCUGUAGUUUCCUUAGGGAGCGACUACUUUACCUCCCACACAUCCCCUUCAUAUUGGGUUGGGUGGGCUGAGAAGGACCCGUAGGGGUUCUAUAGCGGUAGCAGGUGGUUGUGACCAAGGCUCGAAAGAUUAUUAUCUCAUUUGCUUUGGAGGUUUGUAAUAAGGAUCUUUGGGAAGAAAUUCAGAUGCCCUAUUUCAGAAUAAAUAAAGCAUUUUAGCUUGCCUGUUUGUGGUGUUUAUAAUCGAGGCGCUCAAAGUAAUUGCCAACAAACUGAAGGUUUUGAGCUGGAACUUCAAUUUGGAUCCCUGCAAUAGUGAUGAUACAAACUGGCAUCAUCUUGACGACAUAGCUGGAUCACGUGGGGUCAUAUGCAGCUGUGUUUUUGAGCAAAACAUACCACUUGCCAUGUUAAGCUAAUAAUGAUAUAUCUAGAACAGCAAGGGAUUGUGCCCCCUGAAUUGGCUAAUAUUACACACUCACAAAGCCUGUGAGUACAACCUAUAUAGUUUCAAGCUUCUAUUCUUCCUGCCAAUUCAAAUUGAUUGGAGUAAUGAAAAUAAGCUUAAUUAAAUGAAUUGUAUAAUGUUUUCAAUAGUGACCUAGGAUACAAUUUUUUGAGCAGAUCGAUUCCGGCUAUGUUCUCAUUAACACAUCUUUGAGUAUCUGUAAGCCAGAAUUUUAGUACAAAUUGUUGUUUUGGAACACUACCACCAGAGCUAAGGAAGUUGGCAAAUUUGGAUUAACUGUGUUCAUGAUUUUUCCUAUAGGAGCUUGAUCAUUUUAAAGAGGCCAUGAGGAUGUGUUCAGAAGUUUUCCAUCAUUUGAAGAUAUAGUUUAUUUUUUGGCUUUAAUAUUUCAUGUGUUUUUUAUAGCCUAAAUGUUGAGUGCAAGAUAUAGUCACAUCAGUUGGAUAUGGUUGAACAACAUUCUGCAACUUGGAUUGGCAUGGAUGUUGCUGCAUUUGAGUUUUAUGGUCAGGAUAAAAUGUAAGGUUUGAACUUCAAGGAGGAGGUAGCUAUCUAACUUUCCUUUCUAAUGUCAAUGCAUUUUUGUGGCAAAUAAUUUCUUUGAAUUAGGAAAUGGCAUUCAAUACUAUAAAAUGACCUUGUGUACGGUCAUUUUUAUUUGUUGCUAUGUUUACAAUAUUUAAAAGGAGGUUUGCGUUUUGCAUAAAUUGGGGUUGUAAAUGUGUUUUCAAGGCAUUCUUAGUGCUCUUCCAGUGCAACCAUUGAUUU
This is a long non-coding RNA of Cryptomeria japonica (Japanese cedar), 2564 nucleotides long. RefSeq lists it as uncharacterized. The record is from RefSeq and is a predicted model, not a curated record. The transcript has 4 exons. Lineage: Eukaryota; Viridiplantae; Streptophyta; Pinopsida; Cupressales; Cupressaceae.